Molecule: long non-coding RNA, 547 nt
Organism: Triticum dicoccoides
Lineage: Eukaryota; Viridiplantae; Streptophyta; Magnoliopsida; Poales; Poaceae
Exons: 4
Source: RefSeq, a predicted model, not a curated record
UCUACCUUAUCCAAGAGGAAAAUACCUCCUCCAUUUUCUGUAGUUUGUACCGUACCCCUACUAAGCGGCCGCGGCGGCCGGCUGCUGGCGAGCGAUUCCCCCGGCGUGCUUCCGCGCCGCCGUCAGCCAUGCCCGCUUGCGGCCGUCACAUUCGCUGCCGGCUAAGCGGGUUCCUCAUUUCCCCUCGUGUCUCGCCGAAACGCCCCCAAUCCGCUGCCGCUGGCCUGGCGAGGGACUCCGUCUGAAGACAUCUGCCACUGGCAUGAACCGAAUAUGUAUGGGGAAUAGGGGACAAAAUCACAGCAAUGUCAGGAUAAGAUCAAUCCUCACGGGUUCACAUCACAUUAUUCAACCGUUGCAGAAUCCACUAAUAGUAUUACAAUAUGAUCUAGUAACAUGAAACUGCUACGAUCGUUUGAAUACUACAGUCACUUUGCAGGAGCCAAGAACUGGGUGAUACAGGAUGGUGUCCUGUCCAGAGCAUGAUAACUGCAUACCUGGUGCACCACAAGGUGGAGGUUGGGUUGCAAGCCUGAAUGGGAACCGG